GAUGAACGCUGGCGGCGUGCCUAAUACAUGCAAGUCGAGCGAACAGAUGAGGAGCUUGCUCCUAUGACGUUAGCGGCGGACGGGUGAGUAACACGUGGAUAACCUACCUAUAAGACUGGGAUAACUUCGGGAAACCGGAGCUAAUACCGGAUAAUAUAUUGAACCGCAUGGUUCAAUAGUGAAAGACGGUUUUGCUGUCACUUAUAGAUGGAUCCGCGCCGCAUUAGCUAGUUGGUAAGGUAACGGCUUACCAAGGCAACGAUGCGUAGCCGACCUGAGAGGGUGAUCAGCCACACUGGAACUGAGACACGGUCCAGACUCCUACGGGAGGCAGCAGUAGGGAAUCUUCCGCAAUGGGCGGAAGCCUGACGGAGCAACGCCGCGUGAGUGAUGAAGGUCUUCGGAUCGUAAAACUCUGUUAUUAGGGAAGAACAAAUGUGUAAGUAACUAUGCACGUCUUGACGGUACCUAAUCAGAAAGCCACGGCUAACUACGUG
RNAcentral lists this ribosomal RNA (497 nucleotides) under uncultured bacterium. Its description in RNAcentral is "partial 16S ribosomal RNA". It matches the Rfam family "Bacterial small subunit ribosomal RNA", at positions 28 to 507 of the family's 1533-position model. The record is from RNAcentral.